Molecule: long non-coding RNA, 6957 nt
Filed under: Zea mays
Lineage: Eukaryota; Viridiplantae; Streptophyta; Magnoliopsida; Poales; Poaceae
Description: long non-coding RNA (ZMAY_LNC003056)
Source: RNAcentral
UUCACUACCAUUGACUCAGUAGGGAGGCGAAAGAAAACCGAGCGCCGCCGCGGGGAAUACUGGACCUCUACCUCGACCGGACCACCGAGGACCUGCUCGCGCCGUGGCCUUAGCUUACAGCCGUGGAGUCCUGCCGUUAUGCGGAGCCGUUCUCUCCGUCGUCGGGAGUCGGGUGAAUGCCAGGGAGCCUCGGCGGAAUUCCUUCAAUCCAGUGUUCCUCACCGAGCCGCUGCACCAUGGUUGAGGGUCUCCUCGACAUGAACCCUGGUGAGAUUCUGGACCCCUUUGGUUCGCUUGUUGGUCCGCUCUACGUAGCACAAAUCGUAGGGGGAAAGUGGAGCUUUGGUGCUCGGCUGGACGGGAGCACCGGUGAUGGUCUCCGCCGUUGGGGGCGGCCGCCGCUGGUGCGGGAUCUGCUGCGCUCAGCUAUCGGUGGUGGAAGACAACCCAUGAACCGUAGAUCGCGUUAUCAGUGGCCAAGAUUAGAAGAUAGGGCCAACUUGACUAGAGCCUAUCUCCGCCAUUCGAUCAUGAUCGUGCGCGCAGGACUCCAUUCCGUUGUUUUAAAUCCUAGCCAUCGGCCGGUAAUCUUACGGUUCUGGUUGCUUACCGCUUCGGUAAUGGGCUGAUCUAAUCUUGACCGGUGGUCCGCGAUCGGACGGCAGAUAUCCACCCAUAUCUCUUCACGCGCGUAAACUUGCAAAGAAAUCCUUCUGUUUUCACAAAAACAACCCGCCAUCCGUGCGGGGGAAAACUGAGUCUCGGGACAAAUUGUGGUUUAGCCCCCGAGCUCUCUGGAUAUUAUGCGCUCAGCCCAGUGACUUAAGAAAAUAGGAAAAACAAUAUAGAAAAUACUUUUCUAGCACAAAAAUAAUUCUAGAACUUGUGUAAUUCCUAGAAAAUCCAUUUUAGCUCCGAAUUGACCCACUCUAGUUGCAAUAAUUUUGUUUUAAUAUUGUCUAUCAACUAGUAACACUGUUUAGCCAUGAAAAUUGAGUUAAAAUUGUUGAUUAGGAUUAAUCUAUUCUAAGCACUAAAUAAUUUCGAAAAUUCAUAACUUAAUAACCGUAGCUCCGAAUUUAGUGGUUCUUGUUUCUACGAGCUCGUUGUGGUGCGUAGAUUAUUAUUACAUAGUUUAUUUUUUUGUUUGGUGUGAUGUUAAUCUUGCCUAUAUCAUGUUUGUUUGUAUUGCUACGAUUAGCGCGAGGUUACAUGUCAUGUGAAGAUCAUCCUGGUACCUGGAAUCUCAAGUCCCAGGCAAGUUGUGCCCUUGAUCACUUCUUUUUACCCACUCAUGUUCUAAUUAAUCAUAAUGAUCUGCAUAGGUUAAUUCUGAUGGGACCCAAUAGGUUACCCUAGUUUGUCUAUCUUUAUACCUUGUUUACCACUGAACUUUUUGGGUAGUACUUGCUAGUGCUUUAUGUGGUUUUGGGUAUGAAGAUACAUUAUUCAUGAUCACACUUUUAUUAUCUGUUUAUUAUCACUGUUCAUGAUAAGAUCAUUAUGUUAAUUGGAACAUGGAGAACCACCCGGGAAAACAGUGCUACCACAAGGGUUUAAUGGGACGCCCUUGGCCGAUUAAUUAGGAAAGCUAGUGGAAGACUACCUUACCCGAAAGGGGCAAGGGCAGUAGGGGAGUGGUCAGUGUAGGGAGGCCCUCGGGAGGAUUUUGCUGCGAUGGCGGUCCUGCAAGGGAUUCCUGCAUUGGAGCUUCCUAUAAACUGUAGCGGGUUUUCUGAAGCUAGUGGAACUUUGUAAAGGCCUCGUAGUGUUACCCUGCCUCGCCUCCUCGGUAGAGGUGUAUGGGAAGUCGCGAUCCCUUGGCAGAUGGGUAACAUGACUUGUGGGUAAAGAUGCGCAACCUCUGCAGAGUGUAAAACUGGUAUACUAGCCGUGCUCACGGUCAUGAGCAGCUCGGACACUCACAUGAUUAAAUUAUGGAACUUAAACUCAAUUUGUCAUAUGCAUUGCAUCGCAGGUGAGGUUGUUACUUUUGUUCUACUAUUUAAUUGGGUUGGUAUUUACUUAUACUUAGUAAUUGCUAAUAAAAUUUUGAUCAACUUUAAAAGCAAUGCUCAGCUCUAACCAUCCUCUUUGGUAAGCCUUACACUUCACGUGAGCUCCCACCUUUGGCGAGUUCAUGCACAUUAUUCCCCACAACUUGUUGAGCGAUGAACGUAUGUGAGCUCACUCUUGCUGUCUCACACCCCCCCCACAGGUCAAGAGCAGGUACCCCAGGAUGAUGCGCGUGGAGGAUGCUGUGAUGAGUUCGUGAGUGGUCUAGGUCGUCGUCUCCCAGUCAACUUUGGGUUGCUGGAUCGUUUCCUCAUAUGAUGUAAUUAUUUAAUUAUUUUGUAUAGAACUCCUAUUAUAUAGUAAAGAUGUGACAUUCGAUCCUGUGCCACUAUGCAUCAUAUGUGUGAGACUUGGUCCCAGCACACCUGGUGUUUAUGUUCGCGCUCGGGCUUUGGACCCCUAAAACCCGGGUGUGACAGAAGUGGUAUCAGAGGAAUGUUGACUGUAGGACGAAACCUAGAUAGAACUGGACAACCCUUAUCUACUUACCUCGGCCACUCUGAUUCUUUCUAAACUUUUCUUAAUCUUUUCUCAUCUAUUUCCGCUUUUCUUUGAUUAUUCUUACCUUUUCAUUCUAAAGACAAAUGUGGAUUUCACACUUUGAAAUCCUGCACCUUAAGUGACUUUUAGGAAUAGGAGACCAAAUCUUAGGAACAAAAACAAAACUAUUAUUUUUUUUAUAUGCUUGAAUGUUUGUUCUUCUGAUAUUUGUCUGAUUUGGAUAUUUGAUUGAGUGUGAUGAGUUGUGGAGUAAUGUCCACAAUUUCAUCUGCAUAUACACAUAGGUAUAAAAAAAUAUAUUUAUAAAAUAACUAGACAACCUAGAUUAUUCCCAUUGGAACAUAUCUAGCUUAAAAGAUUUAUCUUAUCCUAAAAGAUCCCAUCCUAACUAAUUCAUCUUAUCUUAAAAGACUCUCUUAUCCUAAUAGCUUCAUCUUAUCAUGAAAGAUUCAUUUUAUCCUAACCACUAUAUUUAUCUGAUCCUAAAAUAACCACUAAGACCUAAUCCAAAAUAAUGAGAUCUUAACUAGUUCAAUCUAGUCGUACCAACCUAAUCUAGAUUCUAUCUAAUCUAUUAUGUUCUAAUCUAGUGUAAGUUACUUAAUGCUGGUACAACGGGUUAAGCCAUACUCCAGAUCCACUUAAACUUAAACUCGUGACCUAGAUCAACUCGGCCAUACCCAACAACUUGACCUACAUAACAGAUCUAUCUUAGCCUCUUGUCCCAAACCCGAAUGGAGACACCAAAGAGCAACACUGGAAAAGGACAAGAUCAACCUCAUCAAGGAAGGAGAGAAGUCAAACUCGAUCUUCAGAUGCAUUACCACCCAACAAGGAGUUAUUUCUCACCAUAAACCUUCUUACACCACGAUAUUCUUGCCCUAACCAACCCAUCUUUCGUCCUACAUAAUAAAAUGACUAUACAUAUGGAUACCCAUGCUUUCCUAAUCACUCAAAAAAAAAAACUCUUGAUUUUUGAAAUAAUUAGAAACUGAAAGCUAAAUUGCAAACCACUCUUCCUAUAUCCUUUUCUAACAAAUCUCGGGGACGAGAUUUCUGUUAAGGGGGGUAGGAUUUGUAAAGCCCUAAAAUUGGUAUAAUGUAAGAAAUGCAUAUAUUGAUAUAAAAGUGAUUUGGAAUUGUGGAGCCUUCGGAGAUUUAUUAGGUUUUCUUCUUUGUGCAUAUUCAAUUAAUAGGAAUUAAGGUGAUCAAAAGACAAAUAAAUAAAUACGGAAAUAGGCAUCUAACACUGAGGUUCUUGUUUUGUACUCAAAAGUGUGAAAACAAGUUUAAGUUUGAAAAUAGAACUUGAGAAUAGAAAGAGAAAUAAGAAAAGAGAAUAUACAAGGAAAAAUAUAUAUAAGUACCUAUAAUUCUUCCUACUAGAACUUUAUUUGAAAAUUUGUUUUGAUGUUUGAAACCUAGAGAUUAAAACCAGAAUUCGAAUUUAGUUUGAAUUUUUGAUUUGGAAACAAAACAGAAAAUAAUAAAAAAAAGAACAAAAGCACUUGGGCUGAAACCUCUCUGGCGGCCCACUCCUUUUCCUCCUUCAGCCAGCCCAAUCCGCGCGUGUGUCACUGGCGGGGUGGGACCCAUCGGUCGGCCUUGGGCUUGAUUCCGCCCGUGCCCGCGUUUCCUGUUGGCGCAGCUUGUCUCACUGUCUGGUGGGUCCCGGCUGACAGUGUUACCUUCUUCCCCAAUCGCUAGCAACAGCAGCGCGAAUGCCGCGGGCGCUAACAAAUCGCGGGAUUCUCUCCCACCCCGCGGAGCGGUGAACCCGGAACGAGCUCGUGCCCUAGAUUCCGCGUCAAACUGCUGCCGAUUUCCUUGGCAUGGACUCGUCCCUUCCCCCUCGCGUUCGCAUGAACUGAACCCAGGAAUCCGCGUGGAUGUCGCUGGCCGUUCCAACAACCCGGCCGGAAUCCCCUCACAGCAGAGUAUAAAGAGGAUUGAACCGCCCCGUCGUUAGCCAUCACGAGCCGGAUUUCACUACCAUUGACUCAGUAGGGAGGCGAAAGAAAACCGAGCGCCGCCGCGGGGAAUACUGGACCUCUACCUCGACCGGACCACCGAGGACCUGCUCGCGCCGUGGCCUUAGCUUACAGCCGUGGAGUCCUGCCGUUAUGUGGAGCCGUUCUCUCCGUCGUCGGGAGUCGGGUGAAUGCCAGGGAGCCUCGACGGAAUUCCUUCAAUCCAGUGUUCCUCACCGAGCCGCUGCACCAUGGUUGAGGGUCUCCUCGACAUGAACCCUGGUGAGAUUCUGGACCCCUUUGGUUCGCUUGUUGGUCCGCUCUACAUAGCACAAAUCGUAGGGGGAAAGUGGAGCUUUGGUGCUCGGCUGGACGGGAGCACCGGUGAUGGUCUCCGCCGUUGGGGGCGGCCGCCGCUGGUGCGGGAUCUGCUGCGCUCAGCUAUCGGUGGUGGAAGACAACCCAUGAACCGUAGAUCGCGUUAUCAGUGGCCAAGAUUAGAAGAUAGGGCCAACUUGACUAGAGCCUAUCUCCGCCAUUCGAUCAUGAUCGUGCGCGCAGGACUCCAUUCCGUUGUUUUAAAUCCUAGCCAUCGGCCGGUAAUCUUACGGUUCUGGUUGCUUACCGCUUCGGUAAUGGGCUGAUCUAAUCUUGACCGGUGGUCCGCGAUCGGACGGCAGAUAUCCACCCAUAUCUCUUCACGCGCGUAAACUUGCAAAGAAAUCCUUCUGUUUUCACAAAAACAACCCGCCAUCCGUGCGGGGGAAAACUGAGUCUCGGGACAAAUUGUGGUUUAGCCCCCGAGCUCUCUGGAUAUUAUGCGCUCAGCCCAGUGACUUAAGAAAAUAGGAAAAACAAUAUAGAAAAUACUUUUUUAGCACAAAAAUAAUUCUAGAACUUGUGUAAUUCCUAGAAAAUCCAUUUUAGCUCCGAAUUGACCCACUCUAGUUGCAAUAAUUUUGUUUUAAUAUUGUCUAUCAACUAGUAACACUGUUUAGCCAUGAAAAUUGAGUUAAAAUUGUUGAUUAGGAUUAAUCUAUUCUAAGCACUAAAUAAUUUCGAAAAUUCAUAACUUAAUAACCGUAGCUCCGAAUUUAGUGGUUCUUGUUUCUAUGAGCUCGUUGUGGUGCGUAGAUUAUUAUUACAUAGUUUAUUUUUUUGUUUGGUGUGAUGUUAAUCUUGCCUAUAUCAUGUUUGUUUGUAUUGCUACGAUUAGCGCGAGGUUACAUGUCAUGUGAAGAUCAUCCUGGUACCUGGAAUCUCAAGUCCCAGGCAAGUUGUGCCCUUGAUCACUUCUUUUUACCCACUCAUGUUCUAAUUAAUCAUAAUGAUCUGCAUAGGUUAAUUCUGAUGGGACCCAAUAGGUUACCCUAGUUUGUCUAUCUUUAUACCUUGUUUACCACUGAACUUUUUGGGUAGUACUUGCUAGUGCUUUAUGUGGUUUUGGGUAUGAAGAUACAUUAUUCAUGAUCACACUUUUAUUAUCUGUUUAUUAUCACUGUUCAUGAUAAGAUCAUUAUGUUAAUUGGAACAUGGAGAACCACCCGGGAAAACAGUGCUACCACAAGGGUUUAAUGGGACGCCCUUGGCCGAUUAAUUAGGAAAGCUAGUGGAAGACUACCUUACCCGAAAGGGGCAAGGGCAGUAGGGGAGUGGUCAGUGUAGGGAGGCCCUCGGGAGGAUUUUGCUGCGAUGGCGGUCCUGCAAGGGAUUCCUGCAUUGGAGCUUCCUAUAAACUGUAGCGGGUUUUCUGAAGCUAGUGGAACUUUGUAAAGGCCUCGUAGUGUUACCCUGCCUCGCCUCCUCGGUAGAGGUGUAUGGGAAGUCGCGAUCCCUUGGCAGAUGGGUAACAUGACUUGUGGGUAAAGAUGCGCAACCUCUGCAGAGUGUAAAACUGGUAUACUAGCCGUGCUCACGGUCAUGAGCAGCUCGGACACUCACAUGAUUAAAUUAUGGAACUUAAACUCAAUUUGUCAUAUGCAUUGCAUCGCAGGUGAGGUUGUUACUUUUGUUCUACUAUUUAAUUGGGUUGGUAUUUACUUAUACUUAGUAAUUGCUAAUAAAAUUUUGAUCAACUUUAAAAGCAAUGCUCAGCUCUAACCAUCCUCUUUGGUAAGCCUUACACUUCACGUGAGCUCCCACCUUUGGCGAGUUCAUGCACAUUAUUCCCCACAACUUGUUGAGCGAUGAACGUAUGUGAGCUCACUCUUGCUGUCUCACACCCCCCCCACAGGUCAAGAGCAGGUACCCCAGGAUGAUGCGCGUGGAGGAUGCUGUGAUGAGUUCGUGAGUGGUCUAGGUCGUCGUCUCCCAGUCAACUUUGGGUUGCUGGAUCGUUUCCUCAUAUGAUGUAAUUAUUUAAUUAUUUUGUAUAGAACUCCUAUUAUAUAGUAAAGAUGUGACAUUCGAU